UCCGAAUUGGUGUAGGGGUCAACAUUGCCGCUUCUCACUCUUACGUAAUCCUCAUUUGAUAACGUAAUCUGUGUCGCGGCAGCCCGGGGUUCGAUUCCCCGAUUCGGAA
Molecule: non-coding RNA, 109 nt
Organism: Mycena capillaripes
Lineage: Eukaryota; Fungi; Basidiomycota; Agaricomycetes; Agaricales; Mycenaceae
Source: the annotation of a GenBank genome assembly